Molecule: ribosomal RNA, 253 nt
Filed under: uncultured bacterium
Lineage: Bacteria
Description: partial 16S ribosomal RNA
Rfam family: Bacterial small subunit ribosomal RNA
Source: RNAcentral
UACGUAGGUGGCAAGCGUUGUCCGGAAUUACUGGGUGUAAAGGGAGCGCAGGCGGGAAGCCAAAUCAGCUGUGAAAACUACGGGCUUAACUUGUAGACUGCAGUUGAAACCGGUUUUCUUGAGUGAAGUAGAGGUUGGCGGAAUUCCGAGUGUAGCGGUGAAAUGCGUAGAUAUUCGGAGGAACACCGGUGGCGAAGGCGGCCAACUGGGCUUUAACUGACGCUGAGGCUCGAAAGUGUGGGGAGCAAACAGG